CUUGUAGGCGGUUUGUCGCGUCUGCUGUGAAAUUUCGGGGCUCAACCCCGAACUUGCAGUGGGUACGGGGCAGACUAGAGUGUGGUAGGGGAGACUGGAAUUCCUGGUGUAGCGGUGAAAUGCGCAGAUAUCAGGAGGAACACCGAUGGCGAAGGCAGGUCUCUGGGCCACUACUGACGCUGAGAAGCGAAAGCAUGGGGAGCGAACA
This 208-nucleotide ribosomal RNA is filed under the name uncultured bacterium. Its description in RNAcentral is "partial 16S ribosomal RNA". It matches the Rfam family "Bacterial small subunit ribosomal RNA", at positions 568 to 774 of the family's 1533-position model. The record is from RNAcentral.